RNAcentral lists this ribosomal RNA (377 nucleotides) under uncultured bacterium. RNAcentral describes it as "bacterial SSU rRNA". It matches the Rfam family "Bacterial small subunit ribosomal RNA", at positions 28 to 399 of the family's 1533-position model. The record is from RNAcentral.
AUUGAACGCUGGCGGCAUGCUUUACACAUGCAAGUCGAACGGCAGCGGGGGCGUUCGGCCUGCCGGCGAGUGGCGAACGGGUGAGUAAUGCAUCGGAACGUGCCCAUGUCGUGGGGGAGUAACGUAGCGAAAGCUACGCUAAUACCGCAUACGUCCUGAGGGAGAAAGCGGGGGGAGUCUUUGGACCUCGCGCGAUUGGAGCGGCCGAUGUCGGAUUAGCUAGUAGGUGAGGUAAAGGCUCACCUAGGCGACGAUCCGUAGCGGGUCGUGAGAGGAUGAUCCGCCACACUGGGACUGAGACACGGCCCAGACUCCUACGGGAGGCAGCAGUGGGGAAUUUUGGACAAAUGGGGGCGAACCCUGAUCCAGCCACGCCG